This 253-nucleotide unclassified non-coding RNA is filed under the name uncultured Planctomycetia bacterium. RNAcentral's name for it is "contains 16S-23S intergenic spacer region". It matches the Rfam family "Bacterial small subunit ribosomal RNA", at positions 524 to 776 of the family's 1533-position model. Lineage: Bacteria; Pseudomonadati; Planctomycetota; Planctomycetia. The record is from RNAcentral.
GACGAACCGUGCGAACGUUGUUCGGAAUCACUGGGCUUAAAGGGCGCGUAGGCGGCCAGCCAAGUCAGAGGUGAAAGCCUUCGGCUCAACCGGAGAAGUGCCUUUGAUACUGGUUGGCUAGAGCGAGGUAGGGGCAUGUGGAACUUCCAGUGGAGCGGUGAAAUGCGUUGAUAUUGGAAGGAACGCCGGUGGCGAAAGCGACAUGCUGGACCUCUUCUGACGCUGAGGCGCGAAAGCUAGGGGAGCAAACGGG